Molecule: long non-coding RNA, 250 nt
Filed under: Prunus persica (peach)
Lineage: Eukaryota; Viridiplantae; Streptophyta; Magnoliopsida; Rosales; Rosaceae
Description: long non-coding RNA (PPER_LNC002100)
Source: RNAcentral
UACAACAUCACAUUGCUUAAUUCAAAAAAUACGGGGACCAGGAUUUGCACACAGUUGCUUAGUAAUUGCAUGUACUGAUAUGCAAUUGCACGACACUACUUGCAAGUGCAUCAGCCCUCGAUUAUAACAUUGCACAGAUAAUGCACACAACCCACCAAUGCAUUUCUAUAUUGGGCGGACAUUCUGACUCAUUUCAAAUCUCAAUCCAAAUCUUAACCAAUCCUAACAUUACACUUUCGGAACACUUUAC